AGAAUAGUUUAUCUUCUGCUAAUCUUUUCUUCAAAAUUAAUCCGUAAGACUACAGCAAUUUUGUGUCUUAUUCUAAUGCAAAAUAAAGAACUGAAGUCUGAAAAUAGAAUUUAAUUAAAUCUGAUAGAAAUUCAUCAGGACAAACACACAUUUUAAUAGUUGGUUUUUUUUUCUCCUCAUGUUUUCCUAAAGAAAAAAAGCUCAUGCGAUCAUUCUGUCUGCAUAUCCAUCAGUCUUUCUGCACGUUCUCUCAGUACAGUUUCAUUCCCGUCGACACUUCAGCCCAGUUUGGCAGAGAGGUGGAGGACUGCCCAUGUGGGAAGGUGCAGCAGCUUAUGUGGUAAGUAUUGGCAGUAAUGGAUAUAUCUUCCUGUGAGCUACAAAAUCUUGCCACAUUCACCUUGGCUC
RNAcentral lists this long non-coding RNA (408 nucleotides) under Apteryx rowi (Okarito brown kiwi). Its description in RNAcentral is "lncRNA (ENSARWG00000008998.1)". Lineage: Eukaryota; Metazoa; Chordata; Aves; Apterygiformes; Apterygidae. The record is from RNAcentral.